UCUCACCCAAGUUCAAGGAUAGCGUCAGUC
RNAcentral lists this non-coding RNA (30 nucleotides) under Homo sapiens (human). Lineage: Eukaryota; Metazoa; Chordata; Mammalia; Primates; Hominidae. The record is from RNAcentral.